RNAcentral lists this long non-coding RNA (668 nucleotides) under Physcomitrium patens. RNAcentral's name for it is "long non-coding RNA (PPAT_LNC006053)". Lineage: Eukaryota; Viridiplantae; Streptophyta; Bryopsida; Funariales; Funariaceae. The record is from RNAcentral.
AAUGCUUCGAACACCUGGCUAUGGAAGGUAGAAUGGAAAUUGUAACAACAAAAUCUUAAUUCUAAUAGAACACUAAUAAUGCUAAAUAAACUUUAAUCAAAUUCAAAGAAACCUCAAAGGAAUUCUAAAUAAAAAAUAAGAAAUCUUAAAGAAAUAUUAGAAUGAUUACAAACAUAUCUCAAAUACAUCUCAAUUCAAUCUUAAUUUAAUUCAAGUUGAAAUCUUACUUCAUUCCAACUUUAGGCCAAAAAACUAAUUAAUUCUUAAAUCCUAAAUAAUCUCAAAUAAAAUCCUAAAUCCUAAAACAAAUCUUGAUUAAAUCCUAGCUAAACCUUAAAUCUUAAACUAAAUCCUAAAUCCUAAAACAAAUCCUAAAUCCUAAAUCAAAUCCUAAUCCUAAAUCAAAUCCCAACCAAACCCUAACCAAGCUCAACUCUAAAUCAAAUCCCAACCAAACCCUAACCAAGCUCAACUCUAAAUCAAAUCCUAAUCAAAUCCUAACCAAAUCCUAACCCUAAAUCAAAUCCUAAUAAAAUCCUAAAUCCUAAAUUAAAUCCUAAUCCUAAAUCAAAUCUUAAUCAAAUCCUAAUCCUAAAUCAAAUCCUAGCCAAAUCUUAAACCCUAAACCAAAUCCUAAUCCUAAAUCAAAUCCUAACCAAAUCCUAAUC